Non-coding RNA from Sus scrofa (pig), 7369 nucleotides. NCBI's taxonomy places the organism in Eukaryota, Metazoa, Chordata, Mammalia, Artiodactyla, Suidae. The record is from RefSeq and is a predicted model, not a curated record.
AUAUGGGUAUUUCCCCGCCCCUUCGGGCUGUGGCCACGCCCCCAGGGAGCGGGACGCGCGGGGCGGUCGCCAAGCGUUAGUCAGCCGGAGAAAGAGGAAGUGGAAGGCGCCUCCUGUGCUCUCUGUGGCGUUGCGCGGAGACACUCACUCGCGCAUCACCGGGGACUGACGGUGGGGUGUCAGGAACGCCACGAGGCCGAGGUGACCCACGCUGUGCGGGAAGAGGAGGAAGCGGAGGAGGCAGAGCCGGCGCCGCACCAGCGGGCUUUGAGUUUCAUAGACGUAGGUUCAGAACCUGCUGGGGGCCAUGCCAGGCACUGCUGUAGGGAGAGCAAGGGGAGCCCUCGGCUAGUGCCCCCAGAUGAGUCAGAAGUAGAUUUCGAUCCUUACGGGUCUUUACGCGGGAAAUGAGAUGAUGGUGGAAUUUGCUCCAAGGGCUGGGCUAUUGAUGACUGAAGAUUGGGCUUGUUUUGGUAAUCAUUGAAGCUUGGUGAUGGGUACCUGGGGAUUCAUUAUAUUGUUUACUCUACUUUCCUUUAUAUUUUGAAAUUUCCCAUAAGAAAAGUACCUAGAAGUAAAAAUGGAGAGAGAAGAGCCAAAAAUUAAUCUCCCCAAAUGGAUUCUGCCCUCAAAGGAUUGAUGGUCCUUUGUCACACUCCCAAUAAUAAUUAGAAUAAUUGUUUUUGAGAAACUCUUCUCUGCCUCCCAGAAAAUCCGUCCUGAGUUCAGCUGCAGCAUCAACAUGCGCUGUUGAUGGAGCUCAGCACAGCCAACUGUCCAGGUGGCUUCUGGAUUUGAGGGAUUAUCUGUGGAUCAAGUAUAAUCUCAGGCUGUCUGACCCCACCAGUCCCCAGCAGUUCAGGCUUCCCAUCCCCAAUCUUGGGGAACUGGACGUGAUUCACCCAUUCAGCAAGUAUUUAGUGAGGGUCAGCUUUGUGCCCUACCAGCUGCAGGGACAUGCAUGAGGGAAACAAGCUUCUAUCCCAAAAUCAGGACCAACCAUUUUGUCGUGAGUGUGAUGAGGAAGGAGGCUGCCUGAUGGAAACACCAGGAGGGGCUUGUUUACUACCAACAGAGGGAAUGAGGUUUUUAGGAGGAAGCAGAAAUCAAAUUCUGAAAUCAAAUGCAAUCAAACCAGGCACAGAUAGCCAGCUAUUGCCUCUGGGUCUCAGCUGCCCUCUGUUAAGAGGUGCUGUCCUUGCUCUGUCAGUGGCAUCUUAAUUAAUAUGUGUUGUAGGCAGAGCAAGGGUUUUCUUUCUUUUGGGGAUUAUCCGUGCCAGCCUUCCCUGCAUUCUGCUCCUCCUCCAGUGUCACCAGAACCAUCCACCCCCUGACAUUUCAACCUAAGACCAACCUCCACACACAUGGAGCACCCACAUGGCCAGGCUCUGUAUUGGUUGCUAGAAACUAAAGUAAGCAGGCUCACUCUCUCCAGCUGCCCCCUGCUCAGAGAGGAGGCUUAGACUAGUCACAGGCCACUUUAAGAUCCUGUGGUCAGUGCAGAAGAACAUCCACGGUCUGCAAGGUGGGGCUGGAAUGGCGCCCUGGAGAAGACCUCCCAGAGCAGAGGAAGCUGAGGUGAACUUAAAAGAAUGAAUUGAGGUGAGCCAAGCCAUGGAGGGGGAGGGUGGAGGGCAUUCCAGGCAGAGAAAACUGCUGGAGGUAAAUGAGAAAAAAAAAAAAAGAGAGCUGAGCAUGGUAUGUGCUGGAGGUACGUGGGAGACUAAGGCAUUUCUGGCAUUUAUUAGAAAAUUAGGCAGGGUCAGGUGACAGAGGGACUUGGGUGCCAUUUAAGGCAUUUGGAUUCUUAUCCUUUGGCUGGGGCAGCCCUGGAUGAAGGGUGUUACUCGGUGACCUGGUCAGGGAGGGAUCUUGCCACCUCAUGAGGCAUUUUUGAAUGAGGCCAAAAAAGGAAACAAGCAUAUCCUGGGAGUUUUAUGAGAUGCCAGGUAUGUCCUGAGCACGUCGCUUAAUCUUCACAACCUCUCUAUGAUAUCCUGCUUGGCCAACUGGAUUCAAGGAUGGCUACCACACUCGACCCCCUCCCUGCUAACAUCCAUGCUGGGAAGCUUCUCUAGAAACAGCAUUUUUUCACCAUGAGGUCAAGGAGCCUGGAGGCUGACUCCAACAGAGCAGGCUGAGACCAGGUAGGUUUAAACACUCUGAGGAAGGCAGUGCAAGAACAGCAGUGUUUCCUGGGCUGCGGAGGCCUGGCCACACCUGGCUUUAACUGACUUGCUUCACAGUCAUCAUUCCCCACUGGGUACCGGAGGCACUGGGCUGGGCGUUUUGCUCCAUCCUCACCCCCACCGGGAAAAGCUGAUGGUAUCCCUGUUUUAUAGACCACAAAUGGUCAAGUUACUUUCCAAGGUCAUAGAGCAAAGUGACUAUGUGGUGGUGCUGGCGCUCAAGUUGCUUACAGACCCUGGGAGGGACUAAUUUGUGCAAACCACUGGCAGCUCUGGGCAGAAUGAAGUCGACAGACCUGGACCUGGAGAGGUAAGUGCAAAGCGCCUGGAAAGCUCAGAGAAAGAAGCAAUGAAUGGCUCCUGGGGAUGGCAGAGGAGGCCCCAAGGGAGGUGGUGGCAUUUGAGCUGGACCUUAGUAGAUUAAUUCAGCUUUGACAUUCAGAGAAGGAGGGGAAAGAAUACCAGGCAGCGGAUACAGAGUGCGCGAAGUCACGGAGGUGGGAAAACAGAGUAGAAAUGGCCGGUGGACUGAUGCAGUAGAGGGUGGAUGGUGGGACAGGGGAGCAAUGACACGGGGCAGGUCAGUCCACGCCUCUGCACUUGCUGGCCACUGGGAAAUCACCGGAAAGAUCUGAAUGGGGAAAUGACAAGGCCCAUCUGGCUUUAGGAAGGUAACUCUGGGGACAGAAGCCUGGGUGGAGAUAUUAGACUCAGGCAGACGAGAACGGUGAGUCACUCUGGUUCCCUAGUCAGUUUGUUCGUUUCUAAAGUGGGGAGGACCGUCCCUCCCUGACAUCUGUCCCAGGCUUGUGGUGAAAAUGCAAGAUGCGAAAGUGUGUUGGUGAGCCCCAUGGACAGAGGGGGAGUCAGAAUCAGGGCGGUUUGGGGGUGUGUGUGUGUUGAGGUACCUUGGCUGGAGACCCCAGUGACAUGGCUGCAUGACACAGGGGCAGCCAGAGAAGGUACAGGACAAGUGUAGGCGGAAGCAUGUGCCAUCAGAAUCCAUAUCUGGGAGCGGGGAGGGAGAGGAGAGAGAGAGCACCAGUGAAAUACCAAAGCCUGACCUGAAUCGGAACUGCAAUUACCCUUUUUUCCAUCUGAAUGGGGCUCAGAAGACAGAUUUCUCUUGCCUAGAGAACUUUAGGGACAGCUGUCCUGAGCCAGCAUCUUAUGGGGGUUUUGACCAGCACCAGCCUCUCCUCCAGCAUGUAGAUAAUCGUUGGAGAAACUGCAGCCAGGAGGGCUCAGGGCCCCUGUGAGAGUGACAGGAGCAGGACUGAGCCAGAGGGGUCUCUGAGGGUGUCCAGCCCUACUUCCUGCCUGAGCAGGGAUGGCCCCUGCAGUUUCCCCCGAGGGGGUUACCAUCACUAACCUCACCCCAGACCCACUCUAGCCCGAGUCAUUGUCAUUCUUCCGGCCCAGCUCCUUGGGGGCCAACUCUCAGCCCAGGCCAGCACCCUUAAGCCUCACAGCUCUAGGAAGUAAGUUUUUCGAUCCUUAGUUUCCGCAUGAAGACAGUGAGCCUCAAAGAGUCCAUGCAACUAGCAUGUGGAAAAGCUGAGAUUCAGACGUAAAGCUGGGACUCUAAGGGCCCCUGGGCUUUCCCCCACUGUGCCACGCACCUCUCAGACAGGGUCGAGGUAUCCUUUGUAGACUAAACAUCUAGAGGUCAGAGCGUAAGAAGCUAGUUACAGAAGGGCAAGGUAUGAGCUGAUGAGCUCAUUGGAAAAUUCUUCUUGGAGAAAGCAGUGUGAUUCUGGAGGAGGGAAGGGGCAGGCCAUUCUGGAGGCGUUGGACUGUCUGGGCCCAAACUCUGGGCUAGCUCAGUUUCUCUAAGGGUGGGAGGCUGUCUUUUCAGAGAGACUCAGGCCUGGGUCUGGGGGAGUAAGUCCAGUCUUCUCCUCCUCCGUGGAUUCCUUCUGGGUCUGUGGGCAUUUGGUCUUCAGGAACCCACAAGAGCACCCUGUCUUAAGACACUUGAUGGCUACUGAUGCCACGUUCACACCCUACAGCCAUCAAUAUCAGGGGUGUCCAGUGUGUGAGCCUAACCCGCCAGGGAUGGUUGGGUCGGAUAAUUCACAUUGCUCAGUGACACACUGGCUUGAUGGUGGAAACUUCCUCAUUCAGUGGAGAAACCACACCUUUAUUUUACAUUUGUGUAACCAAAGGGCCCAUUCAGUCAUUUCUCCCAACAAAGGGCUAAAGAUCUCAGAGGAGCUUAACCUUGCCUGUGGAAUAACCGCGGUUUCUUGUUCUCCUUUGGUUCUUCUUUUUUAAAAACCCUCCCACCUUCGCGUAACCUCACCAGUUCCAAGUGAAUCAGCCAUUCGAGUUACCUCUCCUCCAAAGCCGUAGCCUUCGUCGAGGCUCCAUCAGCUGUUAUGUUACUGACCAAUAAGUGCCCUGUCCCCCAGGCUCCCAUUCUCUUGACGGCAGCCCAUUUAUCUCCAUCCCACCCCAUCUGGGGCCAGAUUUGUCCUUCUUGCUUUUACUUCAGGUUUAAAUUAAUUUGUUGUUUUGAAAAAUCACAGUCACCCAGGAAUGUAAUAUGGAGCAUCAGAGAUCUCUACAAAGUUUGUCAUGAACAGCUGCAGCCCUGAUCCAUCUCCAAGGGUAACCACUUUCAACUCUUGAAGCUGAUUCUUUGGAACAUUCACUUUCAUAUCUCUAAGCAACAUUUCAGAUGGUUUUGUCUUGAUCUUCACAGUUUUAGGAAUAAUUUAUUGAUUCCCUGCCCUGAGAGAUGAGGAAUUCUUUCACCACCCUCAUUCAUCAAAUCUACUCCCUUGCUACUAUCUUCCCAAUACUGUAAUAUAUGAUGAUUUGAGUUGCUUCAUUAUUUAUUGUUGACCUGUAUAACCAUGAAAAUACUAUGACCAUCAGAGCCACAUGAUGGACUAGAUUACUUUUUCCCAUCUUUUCCUUGAAAUUUGCAUAGUAAUCAGCUCAUGGGCUGUUUCAGGCAUCACAGCCUAAUAAUUUGGCUCAACUAACCUCAGGCACUGACAUCACAAAACCAAACUCUCAGUUUCUUCUUGUGAAACAUCUGCAGUCAGACAAAUGGUGACUUUACCAGCAAGACCUGGUCCAAAAAAAAAAAAAAAUCGCUAGUAUCUACUUGCUUUAUGUGUCAUGCAAAGACCACUGAAUGGUGGCUAUGAGGUGGAUUCCAGAGUCAGAGUGUGUGGGUUUGAAUUCAUCAUCUUUCCAUGGCCUUUGACAGGUUACAUAUCCCCUCUGCGCUUCAGUUUCUUUACUUGUAAAAUGAAAUUAAAAGAUGAAACCAACUACUUCAUAGGACUCUGGGAUGAAAUGAGAGGAUACAAAUAAUGCACUUGACACAAGAAAAGCGUUACAAAUGGUAUUACUAUUACCAUUGGGUUAAUUAUUAGUGCAAACCCAGAAUGAAGAAUUAGCAUGCUUCAAAAAUGUGCAGCAUUUGCAAGUGGUUCACAGUCAUGUGCUCCCUGUCCUGAAGAGCCAGCCUUCCUGGACCAUCUUCUCUGCAGAGGGCAGUCCCUGAGCAUUAUAAGUGGGACCCUAGCCAGGUGCUGGGAGGUGCAGGUGUAGACUGGUGGGCUUCUGGGUUACCAGAAAAACAGAAAAACGGAAUGGUCUCUCCCUCCCUGUUUUCACAGCCCCCACUUCACUCUCUGGAACUGAUAUUAGGGCAUUACCAGCAACAGGGACUGUGUCACAUUAGUCUCAUUUCCUCUGGUUGCUCCUAGGAAAAGACUGACUGUUUGACCCCCUCCAGUUCCUUUCUUGUUUAUCGGGGGUAGGGUGGAGGGGGAGGUGUUAAAUCAACUCUAACAUGUACUAAUUUUAAGACAUUCAAACACUGCAGUGCAGAAAUACACAAAGGAAAAAUUAAAAAUGUUUUUUUCAGCUUAGAGGUGAUUGCUGUUAGCAGUUUGCUGUGUAUUCCUCCAGGAUUUUAUUUUCUAUGCUUCACAAUAUGUGUGUAAAAUUGGUUCAUACACUAUAUUCAGUUAUGUAUUACAAGGGAUAGAUAGUCAUAAAAUGAGAUCACACCAUACAGUCAAUUUUGCUACUUACUUUUUCAUGUAACAGUGUAUCAUGGACCUCUUUCCAGGUUGCUCUAGGUACGCUUGGCAGCAUGCUGUGUAUGUUGCUUUGCAUGGCUUCCAAUUCUCACCCCGACAAGCAGUUUUGUGAUGAGUAUGCUCAUGAGUAUACCUUUGCGUGUUUGUGCAGGUGUUUUGUAGAGCAGAGUCCUAGAAAGUAGCUUUCUACAGAAUGUAGAUGAAAACAGUCCUUAGCCCACUGAGUGAGGCCAGGGAUCGGACCCACAUCAUCAUGGAUGCAUUUGGAUUCAUGAAUCUGAACUAGUUGGAUUCGUUUCUACUGCGCCACAAUGGGAAAUCUUCUUUUCUCUCUUUAAAUAAACAAUUGUCUCGCCACCCUCAGUCUCUUUGCUGAGUUCUUUCUCCAAAGAGACCAAGUUUUGGGGACCUACACCAAGUGGUUAGUGUUCAGCCUUCUCAACCCGACAGCCACUGGAGAACAAAGGGCACACCCACCCAGGCCCUGUCAGCUUGCUCUCUGCUCCAUGGAACCUGGAACUCCUUGGGCAAGGCCUUCCUCCCUGGGACUCCAACCUCCUGAUAAAACAGCCGCCCUGGUUGCUGGGCACUGUCAACAAAACACUCCCCGCUGGCCCAGCCCUAGCUGGGGACCCAGAACAAUGGUCUCCCAGGGAGAGGCCCCAUUUCCCAAGGCUGGCUCAGAGGGAGACAUGGGGCUGGUAGCUGGGAGGUGGCUCCUGCUGCCUUGGUGUUUGGAACAAUUAUCAGAAAAUGUGGUCUCCUUUUACACUUUCAGAAGGGUGGGCUAUUUGAGUGGAGAGAGAGCCCCCUUGGAGCUGGUUUGUACAAGCAGACCCCAAGAGAGGCCUCUGAGGGGCAGGGAGGGUCCAGUGGACCCCAAACCCAGCUCACACCAGCUCCAAAGUCCAGCCAUCCCCCACCCCUGCUACAGUCCACACCAACCCAGGCUGGCAGGGGCCCCUCAGCAGCCUCGAGGCAUCCACUCCAGUCCUUCCCCAAGUUGUUCUGUAGUUUUAUCAUCUUAAGUAUUUUUUUUCCUGAUAACAUAAGUAGAAUGGGCUCAUUAUUAAAAAAUAUUACAGGAGUUCCUGUUGUGUCUCAGUGGGUUAA